This 73-nucleotide transfer RNA is filed under the name Chloroflexota bacterium. RNAcentral describes it as "tRNA-Glu". It matches the Rfam family "tRNA". Rfam says of the family: Transfer RNA (tRNA) molecules are approximately 80 nucleotides in length. Their secondary structure includes four short double-helical elements and three loops (D, anti-codon, and T loops). Lineage: Bacteria; Bacillati; Chloroflexota. The record is from RNAcentral.
GGCCCUAUCGUCUAGCGGUCUAGGACGUCGCCCUUUCAAGGCGAAAACACGGGUUCGAGUCCCGUUAGGGCCA